Long non-coding RNA from Gavialis gangeticus (Gharial), 586 nucleotides. RefSeq lists it as uncharacterized. The record is from RefSeq and is a predicted model, not a curated record. NCBI's taxonomy places the organism in Eukaryota, Metazoa, Chordata, Crocodylia, Gavialidae. The transcript is spliced from 3 exons.
AGUUUCAGUUAUUAAAAACUCAAAUGCUUGUUUAAUUUACCAUAUUUAUAGUGAAUUCCUUGAAGUAAAAUAUCAAAGCAGAAGUUUUUGCUUUAGUUGGCUACAAGUAUACAUACAGAUGUAACUCAUUUCUGUGCAUGUGUAAUUUUUGAAAAAACAAAUCAACACAUUUUACUAAGAGACUUUGCAUCUUGUUGUCAGGACAUCAUGUGACCCAGAGGAAGGCCAAAUGAAUGGUUGUGGAGAGACAAAUACUGCUCAAUAAAUGGGAGAAGAAUGAGAGACUGCAACAAAUCCCAGUGCAUCUAAUCAAAGCAAAGAGAGAGAUGUCUGGAGAUAGCCUAACCAAUUGCUUCUUCUCCCUGAAAAUAUUUCCGUGCUUUGGGACCCUUUGACUUUUCCAUUAUGACAACUCUACAAACAAAUCUACUUGCUACUUUCAGACCACACUGUUCCUUACAACAGUCCAGAAUACCAGGUGCCCAGGAAGAUAAGACGGCAGGGCUGCAAACAGCGGCUCAUUCAGAUUCUUGAGGUGGAAAGAAGGAACCAGUGGUUGCUGUGUCCAUUUGCUGCUGAUGGAGAU